This is a non-coding RNA of Plectosphaerella cucumerina, 72 nucleotides long. NCBI's taxonomy places the organism in Eukaryota, Fungi, Ascomycota, Sordariomycetes, Glomerellales, Plectosphaerellaceae. The record is from the annotation of a GenBank genome assembly.
GUUCUGAUAGCUCAGGGGUAGAGCAAUCGGCUGCAGUCCGAUAGGUCGGGCGUUCAAAUCGCCCUCAGAACU